RNAcentral lists this small RNA (379 nucleotides) under Liquorilactobacillus oeni DSM 19972. Its description in RNAcentral is "Lactobacillus oeni DSM 19972 cspA thermoregulator". It matches the Rfam family "cspA thermoregulator". The record is from Rfam by way of RNAcentral. Lineage: Bacteria; Bacillati; Bacillota; Bacilli; Lactobacillales; Lactobacillaceae.
UACUAUGAGUUGUAUUUUUGUAUGGGUUACCGUGGUUAGAUUGUUUCAAAUAACUUUCCCCAUUUGUGCCGAUCAAGAAUUACAACUAUUACGAAAUAGUGCCUGUUAGGCACAAGGAGGAAUUUUUAUUAUGGAACAAGGUACAGUAAAGUGGUUUAAUGCAGACAAGGGUUUUGGUUUUAUUACUCGCGAAGAUGGCAGCGAUGUAUUCGUACAUUUCUCAGCUAUCCAAGGUGACGGCUUCAAGACUUUAGACGAAGGCCAACAUGUAACUUUUGACGUUGAAGAAAGCGACCGCGGCCCACAGGCUGUUAACGUUAAUAAAGACUAAUUAAGUUAAAGAAAUCACCGGAACAGGGCUGUCGCUCUGUUCCGGUUU